RNAcentral lists this ribosomal RNA (254 nucleotides) under uncultured bacterium. RNAcentral describes it as "partial 16S ribosomal RNA". It matches the Rfam family "Bacterial small subunit ribosomal RNA", at positions 524 to 776 of the family's 1533-position model. The record is from RNAcentral.
UACGAAGGGUGCAAGCGUUACUCGGAAUUACUGGGCGUAAAGCGUGCGUAGGUGGUUUGUUAAGUCUGAUGUGAAAGCCCCUGGGCUCAACCUGGGAAUUGCAUUGGAUACUGGCAGGCUAGAGUGCGGUAGAGGAUGGCGGAAUUCCCGGUGUAGCAGUGAAAUGCGUAGAGAUCAGCAGGAACACCCGUGGCGAAGGCGGCCCCCUGGGCCGAACCUGACGCUGAGGCGCGAAGGCUAGGGGAGCGAACGGG